GAUUGCCCAUGUUCCAACCUUUCAUCCUUGAAACUUAAGUGGCAUGAACCACCAUCAUCAAUACAAUAUUGCCUUGAAAGUUCUCUAACAGCUAUGGCUGCUAGGCUUGCAUGUUUUCCAAACUCAGCCGUUGCUUGAGCAGCAGAGGUAGCAUCCUUAAAUUUUAUGUUCCAAUUCUACCUACCAACAGAACAAUUACCAUUACCAUCUCAAAGAAAUGAUUGCCCGUGUUCCAACCUUUCAUCCUUGAAAACUUAGUGGCAUGACCCACUAUCAUCAACACAAUAUUACCUUGAAAGUUCUACAACAGCUCUUGUAGCUAGGCCUGCAUGAUCUGCAAACUCAGUCGCUACUUGAGCAGAUUAGGUAGCAUCCUUAAAUUUCAUGUUCCAAUUCUACCUGCCAACAAAACAAUUACCAUUACCAUCUCCAGGAAGUGAUUGCCCAUGUUCCAACCUUUCAUCCUUGAAACCUAAGUGGCGAUGAACCACCAUCAUCAACAUACUAUUGCCUUGAAAGUUCGCCAACAGCUAUGGCUGCUAGGCUUGCAUGUUCUCCAAACUCAGCCGCUGCUUGAGCAGCAGAGGUAGCAUCCUUAAAUUUCAUGUUACAAUACUGCCUGCAAACAGAACAAUUACCAUUACCAUCUCAAGGAAAU
This 658-nucleotide long non-coding RNA is filed under the name Nicotiana tabacum (common tobacco). Its description in RNAcentral is "long non-coding RNA (NTAB_LNC008575)". Lineage: Eukaryota; Viridiplantae; Streptophyta; Magnoliopsida; Solanales; Solanaceae. The record is from RNAcentral.